Molecule: long non-coding RNA, 801 nt
Organism: Drosophila sulfurigaster albostrigata
Lineage: Eukaryota; Metazoa; Arthropoda; Insecta; Diptera; Drosophilidae
Exons: 3
Source: RefSeq, a predicted model, not a curated record
GCUCUUGAAAUCUUUUUAAUUCAUUUUUAAACAUAUUUCGAGCAAAAUUUUAAGUUUCAUUUAGGCAAUCUAAAUUCAAUUCUGCAGGUUUUCAAUCAUGGCGUGGUUAUGCACAUUUAUUUUAGGCUGCAUUCUUGGAUACUAUGCCGGUCACAACUCAUUCAACAGCAUUUGAGGCAAAGAAUCACUUAUAAUGAAGAUUGACUGCAUAGUAAAUUCAGCGAUUUGCUACGUCAAUUUCUAACAUUAAAGAUUUAAUAUCACUGAAUAUUAUGGAGCAAUUUUUAGAGAAAAAUUGUUAAUUAAACAGAUUAAAAAAAAUUCCACAGUGUUUAUUACUUAUCAUGGACUUGGACUGGCUGUGCACAUUUGUAUUGGGCUGUAUUCUUGGUUAUUUGGUUGGCUACAACUCAUAGGUCAAUAUUGAUGGCCAAUAGGUGCGAUUAAUGAAGAUUGACAACAAGGUAAAGAGAAAGCACAACAAGUCACAUAGACUUUGCCUUCAUCGAAUAAAAGCAAUUUAUUCGAUCAAAAUUUAGUCUAUUUUGUAGACAAGCUCUACAAUUGUGCAAUAAAUUAACCUGUAACUUGACAAAAGGCUAAUCAUACGAAUACAUCCCAUACAACCAUGAGUCACGUUAUAUCUUAUGCACUUGGCUUGAUUACCGGCUUAUUGUUGUGCAAACGGCGUUGCUGACCAUGGUAAUCACAAAAUGGACUUAAAUUCAAGAUUUGAUAUAAGAGAAGAAAAGCCAUCCAAAUAAAAUUGUAAAUAAUAGAAAAUAAAAAAACAAUGAAAUA